GCCGGGGUAGCCAAGUGGCCAAAGGCGAUGGACUCAAGAUCCAUUCCCGCAGGGGUUCGCAAGUUCAAAUCUUGUCCCCGGCA
RNAcentral lists this transfer RNA (83 nucleotides) under Candidatus Nanohalobium constans. RNAcentral's name for it is "tRNA-Leu". It matches the Rfam family "tRNA". Rfam says of the family: Transfer RNA (tRNA) molecules are approximately 80 nucleotides in length. Their secondary structure includes four short double-helical elements and three loops (D, anti-codon, and T loops). Further hydrogen bonds mediate the characteristic L-shaped molecular structure. tRNAs have two regions of fundamental functional importance: the anti-codon, which is responsible for specific mRNA codon recognition, and the 3' end, to which the tRNAs corresponding amino acid is attached (by aminoacyl-tRNA synthetases). tRNAs cope with the degeneracy of the genetic code in two manners: having more than one tRNA (with a specific anti-codon) for a particular amino acid; and 'wobble' base-pairing, i.e. permitting non-standard base-pairing at the 3rd anti-codon position. The record is from RNAcentral. Lineage: Archaea; Nanobdellati; Candidatus Nanohalarchaeota; Candidatus Nanohalobia; Candidatus Nanohalobiales; Candidatus Nanohalobiaceae. RNAcentral also lists the same sequence under 2 other names.